GUUUGAUCCUGGCUCAGGAUGAACGCUGGCGGCGUGCUUAACACAUGCAAGUCGAACGGGCCUUCGGGCUAGUGGCGGACGGGUGAGUAACGCGUGGGAAUCUGCCCUCAGGAGGGGGAUAACGGCCGGAAACGGCCGCUAAUACCCCAUAUGCCGAGAGGUGAAAUGAAUUUCGCCUGAGGAUGAGCCCGCAUCUGAUUAGCUAGUUGGUGAGGUAAUGGCUCACCAAGGCAUCGAUCAGUAGCUGGUCUGAGACGAUGAUCAGCCACACUGGGACUGAGACACGGCCCAGACUCCUACGGGAGGCAGCAGUGGGGAAUUUUCCGCAAUGGGCGCAAGCCUGACGGAGCAACGCCGCGUGAGGGACGAAGGCCUCUGGGCUGUAAACCUCUUUUCUCAAGGAAGAAGACAUGACGGUACUUGAGGAAUAAGCCACGGCUAAUUCCGUGCCAGCAGCCGCGGUAAUACGGGAGUGGCAAGCGUUAUCCGGAAUUAUUGGGCGUAAAGCGUCCGCAGGCGGCCUUGAAAGUCUGUUGUUAAAGCGUGGAGCUCAACUCCAUUUCAGCAAUGGAAACUACAAGGCUAGAGUGUGGUAGGGGCAGAGGGAAUUCCCGGUGUAGCGGUGAAAUGCGUAGAUAUCGGGAAGAACACCAGUGGCGAAGGCGCUCUACUGGGCCAUAACUGACGCUCAUGGACGAAAGCCAGGGGAGCGAAAGGGAUUAGAUACCCCUGUAGUCCUGGCCGUAAACGAUGAACACUAGGUGUCGGGAGAAUUAACCCUUUCGGUGUCGUAGCCAACGCGUUAAGUGUUCCGCCUGGGGAGUACGCACGCAAGUGUGAAACUCAAAGGAAUUGACGGGGGCCCGCACAAGCGGUGGAGUAUGUGGUUUAAUUCGAUGCAACGCGAAGAACCUUACCAGGGUUUGACAUCCUGCGAAUCCUUUGGAAACUUAGGAGUGCCUUCGGGAGCGCAGUGACAGGUGGUGCAUGGCUGUCGUCAGCUCGUGUCGUGAGAUGUUGGGUUAAGUCCCGCAACGAGCGCAACCCACGUCUUUAGUUGCCAGCAUUCAGUUGGGCACUCUAGAGAGACCGCCGGUGAUAAACCGGAGGAAGGUGUGGAUGACGUCAAGUCAUCAUGCCCCUUACAUCCUGGGCUACACACGUACUACAAUGCUACGGACAAAGGGCAGCAAACUCGCGAGAGCUAGCAAAUCCCAUAAACCGUGGCUCAGUUCAGAUCGUAGGCUGCAACUCGCCUACGUGAAGGAGGAAUCGCUAGUAAUCGCAGGUCAGCAUACUGCGGUGAAUACGUUCCCGGGCCUUGUACACACCGCCCGUCACACCAUGGAAGUUGGCCAUGCCCGAAGUCGUUACUCCAACCCGCAAGGGAGGAGGACGCCGAAGGUGGGGCUGAUGACUGGGGUGAAGUCGUAACAAGGUA
RNAcentral lists this ribosomal RNA (1441 nucleotides) under metagenome. RNAcentral describes it as "bacterial SSU rRNA". It matches the Rfam family "Bacterial small subunit ribosomal RNA". The record is from RNAcentral.